Molecule: ribosomal RNA, 229 nt
Filed under: uncultured bacterium
Lineage: Bacteria
Description: partial 16S ribosomal RNA
Rfam family: Bacterial small subunit ribosomal RNA
Source: RNAcentral
CGGGGUGAGUAAUGUCUGGGAAACUGCCUGAUGGAGGGGGAUAACUACUGGAAACGGUAGCUAAUACCGCAUAACGUCGCAAGACCAAAGAGGGGGACCUUCGGGCCUCUUGCCAUCGGAUGUGCCCAGAUGGGAUUAGCUAGUAGGUGGGGUAACGGCUCACAUAGGCGACGAUCCCUAGCUGGUCUGAGAGGAUGACCAGCCACACUGGAACUGAGACACGGUCCAG